AGAGUUUGAUCUUGGCUCAGAAUGAACGCUGGCGGCGUGCUUUACACAUGCAAGUCGAGCGAGGCGUCCCGCAAGGGAUAGUCGAGCGGCGAACGGGUGAGUAACGCGUGGAUGACCUGCCCUUUAGUUGGGAAUAACCCGGGGAAACUCGGGCUAAUACCGAAUAAGACCGAGAGGUGAAAGCGGGGUCGCAAGAUCUCGUGCUGAAGGAGGGGUCCGCGUCCGAUUAGCUAGUUGGUAGGGUAACGGCCUACCAAGGCGACGAUCGGUAGCCGGCCUGAGAGGGUGAUCGGCCACACUGGAACUGAGACACGGUCCAGACUCCUACGGGAGGCAGCAGUGGGGAAUUUUGCGCAAUGGGCUAACGCCUGGCGCAGCAACGCCGCGUGGAGGAUGAAGGUCUUUGGAUUGUAAACUCCUGUCAGCAGGGAAAAGCGAAUCGGGCUAAUACCUCGGUGAGUUGAUUGUACCUGCAGAGGAAGCCCCGGCUAACUCUGUGCCAGCCGCCGCCGUAAC
Molecule: ribosomal RNA, 516 nt
Filed under: uncultured Acidobacteriota bacterium
Lineage: Bacteria; Pseudomonadati; Acidobacteriota
Description: bacterial SSU rRNA
Rfam family: Bacterial small subunit ribosomal RNA
Source: RNAcentral